UCUGACCCCCUGAUCGUGAUCUCCAGCCGUUCACGCCCUGACGCACUUCCCCGGCGCCAGGUCGGGACGGAGGGGGAUCAGGAUCCGGGGGUCGGCAUCC
Molecule: regulatory RNA element, 100 nt
Organism: Microbacterium sp.
Lineage: Bacteria; Bacillati; Actinomycetota; Actinomycetes; Micrococcales; Microbacteriaceae
Rfam family: mraW RNA
Source: Rfam